GACGGAGGGUGCUAGCGUUGUUCGGAAUCACUGGGCGUAAAGGGCGCGUAGGCGGCUGUGGCAGUCGGGUGUGAAAGCCCGGAGCUCAACUCCGGAAUGGCACUCGAGACGCCACGGCUGGAGGCCGGAAGAGGAGGGUGGAAUACCCAGUGUAGAGGUGAAAUUCGUAGAUAUUGGGUGGAACACCGGUGGCGAAAGCGGCUCUCUGGUCCGGACCUGACGCUGAGGCGCGAAAGCGUGGGGAGCAAACAGG
RNAcentral lists this ribosomal RNA (253 nucleotides) under uncultured bacterium. RNAcentral describes it as "partial 16S ribosomal RNA". It matches the Rfam family "Bacterial small subunit ribosomal RNA", at positions 524 to 776 of the family's 1533-position model. RNAcentral also lists the same sequence under 1 other name. The record is from RNAcentral.